RNAcentral lists this ribosomal RNA (473 nucleotides) under uncultured bacterium. Its description in RNAcentral is "bacterial SSU rRNA". It matches the Rfam family "Bacterial small subunit ribosomal RNA", at positions 28 to 507 of the family's 1533-position model. The record is from RNAcentral.
GACGAACGCUGGCGGCGUGCCUCAAACAUGCAAGUCGAGCGAGGUGAGACCGAACCGCAAGGUGAGGUUGAACCUAGCGGCGAACGGGUGAGUAACACGUGGGUAACCUGCCUGGAAGAUUGGGAUAACGGCUCGAAAGAGUCGCUAAUACCGGAUAAAUGUCCUGGUGCUGCAUGGCACCGGGAAGAAAGGGGAAACCCGCUUUCAGAUGGGCCCGCGCCCCAUCAGCUAGUUGGUAAGGUAACGGCUUACCAAGGCGACGACGGGUAGCCGGUCUGAGAGGACGAUCGGCCACACUGGGACUGAGAUACGGCCCAGACUCCUACGGGGGGCAGCAGUGGGGGAUCUUGCACAAUGGGCGAAAGCCUGAUGCAGCGACGCCGCGUGAGCGAAGAAGGCCUUCGGGUUGUAAAGCUCUGUCUGGAGGGACGAACAAAAUGACGUACCGUAAGAGAAAGCACGGCAACUACGUG